CGGGAAACUGAGAAUAAUACCGGAUAGUCCACCACGCCUGGAACGGUGGGUGGAUCAAAGGUCACGGCACAGGAUGGGUCUGCGGCGUAUCAGGUUGUAGGGGGUGUAAAGGACCCCCUAGCCAUUGACGCGUACGGGUUGUGGGAGCAAUCGCCCGGAGAUGGAUUCUGAGACACGAAUCCAGACCCUACGGGGUGCAGCAGGCGCGAAAACUUCACACUGCAGGAAACUGUGAUGAGGGAACUCCAAGUGCAUGCACAAUGUGCAUGCUUUUCCUUACUUUUAAUCGGUUUGGGAAUAAGGGCUGGGAAAGACCGGUGCCAGCCGCCGCGGUAAUACCGGCAGCUCAAGUGGUCGUCGCUUUUAUUGGGCCUAAAACGUCCGUAGCCUGUUUGGUAAAUCUGUGGGUAAAUCAACCAGCUCAACUGGUUGAAUUCUGCAGAGACUGCCAGACUAGGGACCGGGAGAGGUGUGGGGUACUCUCGCGGUAGGGGUUAAAUCCUGUCAUCCUGCGAGGACCAC
This 522-nucleotide ribosomal RNA is filed under the name uncultured rumen archaeon. Its description in RNAcentral is "bacterial SSU rRNA". It matches the Rfam family "Archaeal small subunit ribosomal RNA", at positions 133 to 660 of the family's 1478-position model. The record is from RNAcentral.